Molecule: long non-coding RNA, 639 nt
Filed under: Sorghum bicolor (sorghum)
Lineage: Eukaryota; Viridiplantae; Streptophyta; Magnoliopsida; Poales; Poaceae
Description: long non-coding RNA (SBIC_LNC000569)
Source: RNAcentral
CCUGUCUGUGAUGUCAAGAUGGUCCCUAAUUAAGAAUCCAAGUGCGUUACGCCACUUAGGUAAGGCCUCUAGAGGAGCUAGGGGUUGUCCUGUCGGGCUCACAUCUGUAAUUCUAAAUGUGACUUUUGGAAACUGAUUCAAUCCUCUGUCACCUCGUUUCCUUUUUCUAUCAUCAGUCUUCUCGGUGGUCUUCUCGGUGGUUGUCUCCGUCGUCGGUUCGGGUGCACCUUCAUGUGUGAAUUCUUUCUGGAUAGGAUCUCUUUCAGCUCAUGAAACUGAGAUAACACCUCCUGUUCAUGUUAAAAGUUAAACACAUAAAUCAUUCUUGUACAUAUACUGAGGGACAUAAAAGUUAGAAACAUUUAAUUAUAGAUGAGUAAUUCAUCACCUCAUCUACUUCUGGAAUGUAAUCAGGGUCACGUUCUAAUUCACGACGAGCGUUCCUCUCUAUGCGAGGAUCUGGAAUGUCGCUAGGGGAGGUCUCGUACGAAGGACUUGAUUCACGUUCUUUUACAUUCUCUGUGUGGUCCGACCUUUGUGCUUGCUCAGUGUUGUGUGAUACUUGCACCUUCUCUCUGUGGUCCGAACCUUUUUCCGGUGCUUGGUCGAUGCGGUCAGACCCUGACGCUUGGUUUGGGG